RNAcentral lists this ribosomal RNA (646 nucleotides) under uncultured bacterium. Its description in RNAcentral is "bacterial SSU rRNA". It matches the Rfam family "Bacterial small subunit ribosomal RNA", at positions 143 to 807 of the family's 1533-position model. The record is from RNAcentral.
AUAACAGUUGGAAACGGCUGCUAAUACCGCAUAAGCCCACGGCAUCGCAUGAUGCAGUGUGAAAAACUCCGGUGGUAUAAGAUGGACCCGCGUUGGAUUAGCUAGUUGGUGAGGUAACGGCCCACCAAGGCGACGAUCCAUAGCCGACCUGAGAGGGUGACCGGCCACAUUGGGAUUGAGACACGGCCCAAACUCCUACGGGAGGCAGCAGUGGGGAAUAUUGCACAAUGGGCGAAAACCUGAUGCAGCGACGCCGCGUGAGCGAAGAAGUAUUUCGGUAUGUAAAGCUCUAUCAGCAGGGAAGAUAAUGACGGUACCUGACUAAGAAGCACCGGCUAAAUACGUGCCAGCAGCCGCGGUAAUACGUAUGGUGCAAGCGUUAUCCGGAUUUACUGGGUGUAAAGGGAGCGCAGGCGGUGCGGCAAGUCUGAUGUGAAAGCCCGGGGCUCAACCCCGGUACUGCAUUGGAAACUGUCGUACUAGAGUGUCGGAGGGGUAAGCGGAAUUCCUAGUGUAGCGGUGAAAUGCGUAGAUAUUAGGAGGAACACCAGUGGCGAAGGCGGCUUACUGGACGAUAACUGACGCUGAGGCUCGAAGGCGUGGGGAGCAAACAGGAUUAGAUACCCUGGUAGUCCACGCCGUAAAC